UCAAAACUCGAUCAUAAAUAACAAAUAAAACAAAUAAAAACGAUAUUCAAACAAAAUAAAUCACGAACAAAUAUGGCGCAUUAAUUCAAUACAACCUGAAGCCACAUUCGAAUCGGGUGAAGGAGAAGGAGCCGACUCGGACGAGGACGUGGACGGACGCGCAGGAAGAUAUGUGUCAACAAUUACGCCAAGCUUAAUCGAAUUGUCAACUCACCGGCAACGAACAUGGUUUAAGUGCUGCCCGGACGGAUUCCGCUUCGUAUGCGCAAUGUUAUGAGAUAGAACUCGACAAUUGCCCAAAGGAAUACCAAAAAUUAAACGAAAGGUAGAGAAAGAUCACAGCACGAGAGCGUCGCUCGAUCGAGUUCUAAUGCCUCGUUGCAUUUAUUUUCCGGCCACUGCCACGCCUCCCGUGAGGCUGUGAUCGACAGUUUUCCUCUGUUUGUCACCCUUUCUCCAUAUUUGGUUGUCACACAUGAAUGGGACAUGGCAUGAUUUCAAGAGGCGUGUUCAAAAUAUAAUCAGCUGUGGUAUUGAAAGCGCAGACGAAGCGCAGAAAUUUCGAUUAAGAAAGAAAAAGUGAGUACACUUUUGAAGUAAAGCAAAUCUUGAACUCCAUACAUUGUCAUGGUCGAA
This is a long non-coding RNA of Drosophila pseudoobscura, 636 nucleotides long. RefSeq lists it as uncharacterized. Lineage: Eukaryota; Metazoa; Arthropoda; Insecta; Diptera; Drosophilidae. The transcript is spliced from 3 exons. The record is from RefSeq and is a predicted model, not a curated record.